Molecule: ribosomal RNA, 329 nt
Filed under: Escherichia coli
Lineage: Bacteria; Pseudomonadati; Pseudomonadota; Gammaproteobacteria; Enterobacterales; Enterobacteriaceae
Also listed under: 1 other name
Description: bacterial SSU rRNA
Rfam family: Bacterial small subunit ribosomal RNA
Source: RNAcentral
UUGAGUCUCGUAGAGGGGGGUAGAAUUCCAGGUGUAGCGGUGAAAUGCGUAGAGAUCUGGAGGAAUACCGGUGGCGAAGGCGGCCCCCUGGACGAAGACUGACGCUCAGGUGCGAAAGCGUGGGGAGCAAACAGGAUUAGAUACCCUGGUAGUCCACGCCGUAAACGAUGUCGACUUGGAGGUUGUGCCCUUGAGGCGUGGCUUCCGGAGCUAACGCGUUAAGUCGACCGCCUGGGGAGUACGGCCGCAAGGUUAAAACUCAAAUGAAUUGACGGGGGCCCGCACAAGCGGUGGAGCAUGUGGUUUAAUUCGAUGCAACGCGAAGAACC